Molecule: ribosomal RNA, 602 nt
Filed under: basidiomycete yeast sp. BG01-7-22-009A-1-1
Lineage: Eukaryota; Fungi; Basidiomycota
Description: eukaryotic LSU rRNA
Rfam family: Eukaryotic large subunit ribosomal RNA
Source: RNAcentral
AUAUCAAUAAGCGGAGGAAAAGAAACUAACAAGGAUUCCCCUAGUAGCGGCGAGUGAAGCGGGAAGAGCUCAAAUUUGUAAUCUGGCGUCUUUCAGGCGUCCGAGUUGUAAUCUAUAGAAGUGUUUUCCGUGCUGGACCAUGUCCAAGUCCCUUGGAACAGGGUAUCAAAGAGGGUGACAAUCCCGUACUUGACAUGACCACCAGUGCUCUGUGAUACACUCUCUACGAGUCGAGUUGUUUGGGAAUGCAGCUCAAAAUGGGUGGUAAAUUCCAUCUAAAGCUAAAUAUUGGCGAGAGACCGAUAGCGAACAAGUACCGUGAGGGAAAGAUGAAAAGCACUUUGGAAAGAGAGUUAAACAGUACGUGAAAUUGUUGAAAGGGAAACGAUUGAAGUCAGUCGUGUUCAUUGGACUCAGCCGGUUUUCGGUGUAUUUCCUUUGAACGGGUCAACAUCAGUUUUGUCCGGUGGAUAAAGGCAGGAAGAAAGUGGCUCCCUCGGGAGUGUUAUAGCUUUCUGUCACAUACACUGGAGGAGACUGAGGACUGCAGCUCGCCUUUUGGCCGGGGUUCGCCCACGUUCGAGCUUAGGAUGUUGACAUAA